UACAGGGGGGGCAAGCGUUGUUCGGAAUUACUGGGCGUAAAGGGCUCGUAGGCGGCCAACUAAGUCAGACGUGAAAUCCCUCGGCUUAACCGGGGAACUGCGUCUGAUACUGGAUGGCUUGAAUCCGGGAGAGGGAUGCGGAAUUCCAGGUGUAGCGGUGAAAUGCGUAGAUAUCUGGAGGAACACCGGUGGCGAAGGCGGCAUCCUGGACCGGCAUUGACGCUGAGGAGCGAAAGCCAGGGGAGCAAACGGG
RNAcentral lists this ribosomal RNA (253 nucleotides) under uncultured bacterium. Its description in RNAcentral is "partial 16S ribosomal RNA". It matches the Rfam family "Bacterial small subunit ribosomal RNA", at positions 524 to 776 of the family's 1533-position model. The record is from RNAcentral.